Molecule: long non-coding RNA, 1426 nt
Organism: Oncorhynchus keta (chum salmon)
Lineage: Eukaryota; Metazoa; Chordata; Actinopteri; Salmoniformes; Salmonidae
Exons: 3
Source: RefSeq, a predicted model, not a curated record
AGUUGGUACGUGAAGACUGACUGACACACACAGUACGUGUUUGUGUGUGUCUUUCUCCAGAGGAAAGGGAGUGUUUCUGCUUCUCUAUGCUGAGACACAAGAAGAGGAAGUGUAUCAACCGCCAACUUCCUGUGAUGGCACGUGCUGCACAAGUCGACCGUUUGAGUAACUUUUAAAAUCUUCGUGAAUGCACAAGUCCUGAACUCCUUCACACAAGUCGUUUUCUGUCAGCAACAAUCUGACACACGAUCCUCCGCUCCGCUACAAGACUAGCUGGGGCUCGUGCAUUAUUUAACACGUCUCUCAUCUCACCAGUAAGCCUAGUAGACUAGAAGACAGGCGUAUUAACACUGCAUGAGACAUGGGUAAUCAAACACCACACUGUCCACAGCUACUACGGGUGACCCCGACCAGGGGCCUCGUUUAUCGAAGGUGUGUGUGCGUACAAAAAAAGAAGAAGACUAAACUGCUCGCCUUGACAGAAUGGGUACAGUAGUGUUGGGAUUAGGAGUAGAGGUCGACCGACUAUGAUUUUAGUAUGGGUAGGCUACAGUAGUGUUGGGAUUAGGAGUAGAGGUCGACCGACCAUGAUUUUAGUAUGGGUAGGCUACAGUAGUGUUGGGAUUAGGAGUAGAGGUCGACCGACUAUGAUUUUAGUAUGGGUAGGCUACAGUAGUGUUGGGAUUAGGAUUAGAGGUCGACCGACUAUGAUUUUAGUAUGGGUAGGCUACAGUAGUGUUGGGAUUAGGAGUAGAGGUCGACCGACUAUGAUUUUAGUAUGGGUAGGCUACAGUAGUGUUGGGAUUAGGAGUAGAGGUCGACCGACUAUGAUUUUAGUAUGGGUAGGCUACAGUAGUGUUGGGAUUAGGAGUAGAGGUCGACCGACCAUGAUUUUAGUAUGGGUAGGCUACAGUAGUGUUGGGAUUAGGAGUAGAGGUCGACCGACUAUGAUUUUAGUAUGGGUAGGCUACAGUAGUGUUGGGAUUAGGAGUAGAGGUCGACCGACUAUGAUUUUAGUAUGGGUAGGCUACAGUAGUGUUGGGAUUAGGAGUAGAGGUCGACCGACCAUGAUUUUAGUAUGGGUAGGCUACAGUAGUGUUGGGAUUAGGAGUAGAGGUCGACCGACCAUGAUUUUAGUAUGGGUAGGCUACAGUAGUGUUGGGAUUAGGAGUAGAGGUCGACCGACCAUGAUUUUAGUAUGGGUAGGCUACAGUAGUGUUGGGAUUAGGAGUAGAGGUCGACCGACCAUGAUUUUAGUAUGGGUAGGCUACAGUAGUGUUGGGAUUAGGAGUAGAGGUCGACCGACUAUGAUUUUAGUAUGGGUAGGCUACAGUAGUGUUGGGAUUAGGAGUAGAGGUCGACCGACCAUGAUUUUAGUAUGGGUAGGCUACAGUAGUGUUGGGAUUAGGAGUAGAGGUCGACCGAC